GCUCAGUCAGCGGAUCGUUGUUGGGAUGGUGCUCAGGAGCAGACAUUCCACACCAGGGCAGAACAGACCCAGGCACCUGGUGGGGUGCCCUACAUAAGGCUUCUAACUCCCUACAAGGAGAGAAUCCUGGCCCUGGCAGGAAAAGACUGGGACCGCUCCUGCAGGGAUGCAGAGACAUCAUGUCCCAUCAACUGAGUGUCUUGCAGGUACCAGUGGGAUGUUCAUGACCUUGCCAAGCCACCUCCCGUACUUCUGAGGAAGAGCAUACUGAGACCUCGGAGGAAGCAUUGAAAAGGCUGCCUCCUACAUCCUCCAACACCCCAGCCACAGACACCUCAACGGAAAUAUCAGGCUUGGAAAGCUUAGACACCACAUUCUGAUGGGCACCUUGGUGUGACAGCUCUGUGCCUGGCAGAGAGAGAAAUGCCUCAGAGUUCUGGCACUUGGAGGUAUAUCAGAGACCAGGCUCUUGCUCAGUCCCAGGCCAGAUAAUCAGGGAUUUUGUCUAUGUGCACAGAGAAGACCAGGAGCAAUGGGAGAGGUCAUGAUUUUGUAGCAUUAUCACUAGAUCUUGAUCUGGAGACCCCGUGAUGUUCUGGGGACCCAGCUUCAAAACCUGCCAGAGUAGAAGGUGAAAUUAGAAUUCAAUAAAAAUUUAAAAAUCAAACGAUGACCAUGGAACCAUUGUCAAUUGUCCUAAAAACACAGCUGGACCACCAAUGCCUUUUAGGGAGGGAAACUGCUGCCUAGUCUACAUCUGACUCCAGACCCAUACCAAUGAGGUUGACUCUUAACCGCCCUCUAGGCAAAUAGGAAUGAGCCAUAAAUGCUGGCACAGCCAGUUACUGCCAAUUCCUAUAAAUGAAUAAAGGAGGCAG
Molecule: long non-coding RNA, 878 nt
Organism: Stegostoma tigrinum
Lineage: Eukaryota; Metazoa; Chordata; Chondrichthyes; Orectolobiformes; Stegostomatidae
Exons: 3
Source: RefSeq, a predicted model, not a curated record